AUUGAACGCUGGCGGCAUGCCUUACACAUGCAAGUCGAACGGCAGCACGGGUGCUUGCACCUGGUGGCGAGUGGCGAACGGGUGAGUAAUAUAUCGGAACGUACCUUAUUGAGGGGGAUAACGCAGCGAAAGCUGUGCUAAUACCGCAUAAUCCCUAAGGGGGAAAGCGGGGGACCGUAAGGCCUCGCGCAAUUAGAGCGGCCGAUACCUGAUUAGCUAGUUGGUGAGGUAAAGGCUCACCAAGGCAACGAUCAGUAGCUGGUCUGAGAGGACGAUCAGCCACACUGGGACUGAGACACGGCCCAGACUCCUACGGGAGGCAGCAGUGGGGAAUUUUGGACAAUGGGGGCGACCCUGAUCCAGCAAUGCCGCGUGAGUGAAGAAGGCCUUCGGGUUGUAAGCUCUUUUGUCAGGGAAGAAACAGCAGCUCUAACACAGUUUGCGAAUGACGGUACCUGAAGAAUAAGCACCGGCUAACUACGUGCCAGCCGCCGCGGUAA
This 500-nucleotide ribosomal RNA is filed under the name uncultured bacterium. RNAcentral describes it as "partial 16S ribosomal RNA". It matches the Rfam family "Bacterial small subunit ribosomal RNA", at positions 30 to 523 of the family's 1533-position model. The record is from RNAcentral.